RNAcentral lists this ribosomal RNA (3641 nucleotides) under Triticum aestivum (bread wheat). Its description in RNAcentral is "partial small subunit ribosomal RNA". The record is from RNAcentral. Lineage: Eukaryota; Viridiplantae; Streptophyta; Magnoliopsida; Poales; Poaceae.
GCGCGGUGGAGUUGGCCUCAGUGUGUUGAAUGAACGCAAACCUUACGGACACACAGACGAGACGACCACAAAUCACUCCGGCCGGUCGUAUCCACACUGCUAGUGCUACUUGCUGCCGCUUCUUUCCUUGGUCUCUCGUUGUUCUCUGCGGCGACUAGACUACAGUGGGUCUCCCCACAAUCUGCGGCGGCGACGGCGUCGAAGAGCUCGAUCUGUUCAACGUUCGCUCAGCAGAGGCGAAGAGUUGCUGUUCGCUGUUCUUCAGGAUGCUCUUCUUCGAUUGAGCCAAGCCAGAAUUGGAUCUAUAUUCUCCAGUAGUUCAUCUUGGGUUGCUGCAAAUUGGAUUUGAAGGAGCUGCUAUUCAAGAAUUUCGACCCAAGGACAAAUAAAAUAUCGAGGUAUGGAGGCCGCUGCUGGGGCGUUGAGCCCUGUCCUCCGUAAGCUCGGUGAGCUGCUCGCCGGAGAAUACAACCUGGAGAAGCGAGUAAAGAAAGGUGUACAAUCACUUCGUACAGAACUGGAGAUGAUACACGCCGUACUUCGUGAGGUUGGCAAGGUGAGAGACCUCUCUUGCGACAUGGAAGACGCUGUUGAUGACUUUCUGGUGCGUGUGGAUGAGGGUCCAAGCAGCAAGCCAACGAACAUGAGGAAUCGUGUCAAGAAGUUCCUCAAGAAGACCACCAAAUUGUUUGGUAAUGGCAAAGCACUUCAUCAAAUCUCUAGUGCCAUCAAAGAAGCUGAGGACCUUGCCACGGAGUUGGUGGGGCUGCGUAAAAAGUAUGAGCUUGACAUGCGUAGCACUAGCAAUGGUGCUACCAUUGACCCUCGUGUGUUAGCUCUGCACAAAGAUGUAGGGGAGCUUGUUGGCGUUGACUGCACAAGGGAUGAGCUUAUCAAAACACUGAUUUGUGAGGACGGGAGUUCCAAGGAGCAAUUGAAGACCAUCUCUAUUGUUGGUGUUGGUGGGCUAGGCAAGACAACACUCACCAAAGCAGUCUAUGAGAAGAUCAAAGCCCAAUUUGAUCGUGUGGCUUUUGUCCCAGUGGGUCAGAACCCAGAUAUCAAAAAAGUUUUCAAGGACUUACUCUAUGAACUUGACAAUGAAAAGUUCAGUGACAUUCAUAAUACAACACGGGAUGAAAAUCUACUCAUCAAGCAAAUCAGUGAUUACCUUGUGGAUAAGAGGUACCUCAUCGUAAUCGAUGAUAUAUGGGAAGAAGAAAUAUGGAGAUUUAUAAAUUGUGCUUUGUAUAAAAACAACCUCCGUAGUCGGGUAAUCACAACAACCCGCAAUGUGAGCGUGUCUGAAGCAUGUCUCUCUUCUAGUGAUGACAUGAUUCACAAAAUGAAACCUCUUUCUGAUGAAGACUCGCAGAUACUCUUCCAUAGAAGAAUAUUUCAAAGCGAAGUGAAAUGUCCAGAAGAUUUGCAAGCAGUAUCAAGAGAGAUAUUGAAGAAAUGUGGUGGUGUACCAUUAGCCAUCAUUACAAUAUCUAGCCUUCUAGUCAGUAACCAAAGGAUAAAGCAGAAAGAAGAAUGGAUGCAUGUGCACAGUUCGAUGGGCCGUGGAGUUACAGAAGGUGGUAUUGUGAAGGACAUGAAGAGGAUAUUAUCACUCAGCUAUUUUGAUUUGCCUUCGCAUCUAAAGACUUGUUUGUUAUACCUAAGCAUCUUUCCUGAAGACUUUGAGAUUAAGAGAGAUUGGCUGAUAUGGAAGUGGCUUGCUGAAGGGUUUAUCCAAUGUGACAAAGAAGAAACCAGGCUGUUUGAGAUCGGAGAGAGCUACUUCAACGAGCUUAUGAACAGGAGCUUGAUCCAGCCAGCACAAAUCAAUUUGGACGGAACCGUAGUAACCUGUCGAAUACAUGAUAUGGUGCUUGAUCUUAUAUGCUCACUGUCAAAUGAGGAGAAUUUUGUCUCCAUAUUGGAUAAUGUUCAGUGGCAUGCACCUAAUCUGCAAAGGAAAUUCCGCAGGCUAUCACUUCAUAAUAUCAAGGCAACAGUUCAGAACCACCAGUUUGGUAGCACUAGCCUGUCAAAAGUGAGGACCUUUGCUGUUUUUUCUCUUGUUACUUGUGAUUGGUUGCCAUCUCUCUCAAGCUUUCAAUUUUUGCGUGUGCUUGAUCUUGGAAAUUGUGGCAGCAAUGAAAGUAGCUCUGGUAUCAGCCUCAAGUAUGUAGGGAAUUUAAUUCACCUAAGGUACCUAGGGCUCAUGUAUGCAGAUGUUUGCGAACUCCCAAUGGACAUAGGCAAGUUGCAGCUUUUACAGACACUGGAUGUAAGAGGCACUAGUAUAAAAGAAUUACCUGCAAGUGUUGUACAGCUCAGAAAUUUGAUAUGCCUAUAUGUCAAUUAUAGGGUGAGGCUGCCAAAAGGAAUGGGGAGCUUGAUGUCCCUUGAAGUGCUGGAACGAGUAGGCUUAUCCUCGUCUCCUCACAUUGCGGAAGAGCUGAGCCAUCUGACAGAGGUUAGGACACUCGGUGUUGACUGUUAUAACAUGGACGAGGAUCUGAUUGAUAUAUUAAUCAAGUCUCUAGGCAACCUGCACAAAUUGCAAAAUCUGCGUAUUCAUAGUGGUGGCGGAUUGAUGGAUCGCAUAUGUGAAAGCUGGGUGCCCCCUCCAAACCUCCGUAGUAGCAUCUUUUCUUCUUCGUGGUUCUCGCGACUUCCAAAGUGGGUUAAUUCAAGUUCGCUUCCCCACCUCUCCACCCUGGAAAUAGAAGUGGAAGAACUGCAAGGGGAUGACAUUCAGAUCAUUGGGAUGCUGCCUGCUCUUCUGUUUCUGCGGCUGCGUGCAAGUCGCGUGAUGGGAAGGUUGGCUGUGAGGGCCGAUGCAUUCCCAUCUGCGAGAUGCUGCAAGUUCUUGGGGUUUCUGACUUCGCCGUGCCUUUUUCCACCUGGAGCUAUGCCAAGGGUUCAGCGGUUUGAGUUCUGCGUCUCCGCACUGUCGAUCGCGAGUGGUGAGGUUGACUGCGGCAUGGGCCACCUCCCUUCUCUCGAGCAUGUUGAGGUUUGGCUGGAGCGUGAGAAUUCCAGCGAUGAAGAGAUGGAGACAGCCAAGGCUUGGCUGACGCGCGCAGCACAAGCCCAUCCAAAACUUCCCACCAUUGACAUCCUUGACUGUUGAGUGCUGACAUGCCUUUGCCGCUAGUAAGGGCUUGAACAAGAUCCUGGAGUCAGGUACUGUACUUCCAUCAGUUGCCGUGGAUGCUGUUCCAACAUUUCGAUAGGCAACAAACAAUUCACUGUGCCGUCGCAAUCACCAACAAUUCAUUGUACCUCCGGAACUCCCAAUAAACGAAGGCUUAUUCUCUCCAACGUAUGUUCAGAUUCUGCCCUUUGUUAGAUGGAGGCUUCCGCAUGAUUGUUCAUGAUCAGCUAUUUACUUCUCCUGCAUGUGCUUUCAGAAACGCAGCACCUCCUUUCCUUUAUUCAUUCAGUCUUUUAAGAACUAGUACAAUAAAAGUUUGCAUUCAGUUGGCACUAUUUGUAGCAGUACUGCCUCUACGUGUAUUUGAUUGUUCACAUACAGCGUCAUUUUGUUCUUACUGGCUUAUUAAUUAAGAGUUGGCUUGUUUUGCUUUGCUUGGCACUGGCUUAUUCAGUCAAGACUCGUACAAUGAAAGGUCCUUGGUUGAACU